Molecule: ribosomal RNA, 447 nt
Filed under: uncultured bacterium
Lineage: Bacteria
Description: partial 16S ribosomal RNA
Rfam family: Bacterial small subunit ribosomal RNA
Source: RNAcentral
AUUGAACGCUGGCGGCAGGCCUAACACAUGCAAGUCGAGCGCCCCGCAAGGGGAGCGGCGGACGGGUGAGUAACGCGUGGGAAUUUUCCUCAAGGUACGGAACCACUCAGGGAAACUUGGGCUAAUACCGUAUGCUGUCUAGCGACCAAAGAUUUAUCGCCUGGGGAUAAGCCCGCGUCAGAUUAGGUAGUUGGUGGGGUAACGGCCUACCAAGCCUGCGAUCUGUAGCUGGUCUGAGAGGACGAUCAGCCACAUUGGGACUGAGACACGGCCCAAACUCCCACGGGAGGCAGCAGUGGGGAAUCUUGCGCAAUGGGCGAAAGCCUGACGCAGCCAUGCCGCGUGAAUGAUGAAGGUCUUAGGAUUGUAAAGUUCUUUCGCUCGUGACGAUGAUGACGGUAACGAGAGAAGAAGCCCCGGCUAACUUCGUGCCAGCAGCCGCGGUAA